This 391-nucleotide unclassified non-coding RNA is filed under the name soil metagenome. RNAcentral's name for it is "partial contains 5.8S ribosomal RNA, internal transcribed spacer 2, and large subunit ribosomal RNA". The stretch from base 1 to 122 matches the Rfam family "5.8S ribosomal RNA", at positions 35 to 154 of the family's 154-position model. The record is from RNAcentral.
GAUGAAGAACGUAGCGAAAUGCGAUACUUGGUGUGAAUUGCAGAAUCCCGUGAACCAUCGAGUCUUUGAACGCAAGUUGCGCCCGAAGCCACUAGGCCGAGGGCACGCCUGCCUGGGCGUCACACGCCGUUGCCCCCCCAUCUACUCCUUCGGGAUUGCGGGGGGGCGGAUGAUGGCCUCCCGUGCGCCUAGCCGCGCGGUUGACAUAAAUACCAAGUCCUCGGCGACGCACGCCACGACAAUCGGUGGUUGCGAAACCUCGGUUGCCCGUCGUGUGCGUUCGUCGCGCAUCGAGGGCUCGAAAAAAUGCUCGGCUCCGGCUGGGCUUUCAACGCGACCCCAGGUCAGGCGGGGUUACCCGCUGAAUUUAAGCAUAUCAAUAAGCGGAGGA